AUGGUACUCCCUCCAUCCGGAAAUACUUACCAUGAAAAUGGAUGUAUCUAGACGUAUUUUAGUUUUAAAUACAUCCGGUUUUAUCUAUUUGUGCGACAAGUAUUUUCGGAUGGAGGGAGUAGUAU
This is a non-coding RNA of Triticum aestivum (bread wheat), 125 nucleotides long. Lineage: Eukaryota; Viridiplantae; Streptophyta; Magnoliopsida; Poales; Poaceae. The record is from Rfam.